AACGCUGGCGGCAGGCCUAACACAUGCAAGUCGAACGGUAGCACAGGAGAGCUUGCUCUCUGGGUGACGAGUGGCGGACGGGUGAGUAAUGCAUGGGGAGCUGCCCAAUCGAGGGGGAUACCAGCUGGAAACGGCUGCUAAUACCGCAUACGCCCUGAGGGGGAAAGGUGGGGACCUUCGGGCCUACCGCGAUUGGAUGCACCCAUGUGGGAUUAGCUAGUUGGUGAGGUAACGGCUCACCAAGGCGACGAUCUCUAGCUGGUCUGAGAGGAUGACCAGCCACACUGGAACUGAGACACGGUCCAGACUCCUACGGGAGGCAGCAGUGGGGAAUAUUGCACAAUGGGGGAAACCCUGAUGCAGCCAUGCCGCGUGUGUGAAGAAGGCCUUCGGGUUGUAAAGCACUUUCAGUGGGGAGGAAGGGGUGAUGCCUAAUACGCAUCAUCAUUGACGUUACCCACAGAAGAAGCACCGGCUAACUCCGUG
Molecule: ribosomal RNA, 486 nt
Filed under: uncultured bacterium
Lineage: Bacteria
Description: bacterial SSU rRNA
Rfam family: Bacterial small subunit ribosomal RNA
Source: RNAcentral